This 460-nucleotide ribosomal RNA is filed under the name uncultured bacterium. Its description in RNAcentral is "partial 16S ribosomal RNA". It matches the Rfam family "Bacterial small subunit ribosomal RNA", at positions 338 to 795 of the family's 1533-position model. The record is from RNAcentral.
CCUACGGGAGGCAGCAGUGAGGAAUAUUGGUCAAUGGCCGUAAGUCUGAACCAGCCCAGUAGCGUGAGGGAAGACUGCCCUAUGGGUUGUAAACCUCUUUUAUGCGGGGGUAAAGGUUUCCACGUGUGGAUUUUUUCAGGUACCUCAUGAAUAAGGACCGGCUAAUUCCGUGCCAGCAGCCGCGGUAAUACGGAAGGUCCGGGCGUUAUCCGGAUAUAUUUGGUUUAAAGGGAGCGUAGGCCGGUCUUUAAGCGUGCCGUGAAAUUUUGUGGCUCAACCAUGAGAGUGCGGCGCGAACUGGAGACCUUGAGUGCGCGGAAGGCAGGCGGAAUUCGUGGUGGAGCGGUGAAAUGCUUAGAUAUCACGAAGAACCCCGAUUGCGAAGGCAGCCUGCCGCAGCGUUACUGACGCUGAAGCUCGAAAGCGCGGGUAUCGAACAGGAUUAGAUACCCCUGUAGUC